This 359-nucleotide transfer RNA is filed under the name Microcystis sp. BG35. Its description in RNAcentral is "16S-23S ribosomal RNA intergenic spacer". The stretch from base 135 to 208 matches the Rfam family "tRNA". Lineage: Bacteria; Bacillati; Cyanobacteriota; Cyanophyceae; Chroococcales; Microcystaceae. The record is from RNAcentral.
AAGGGAGACCUAAUUCAGGUAUGGGACGAAAAAAAAGUAGUCGCUACCAAGAAUCAAUCCCAAAAGGUCGGAGCGAGGCAAAAUUGGCUUUCAAACUAGGUUCUGGGUUCACACAAGACCUGAAUCAGGAACAAGGGCUAUUAGCUCAGGUGGUUAGAGCGCACCCCUGAUAAGGGUGAGGUCCCUGGUUCGAGUCCAGGAUGGCCCACCUGCACAGGUGGCAAAAACAAGAGAAGCGAGGAAUCAGCACCUUAUCUUACUGACAUAGUAAGGGGGAAUGCUGGCUCUGAGUAAAGAGUCCAGAGGAACCUUGAAAACUGCAUAGAGCUAGGUGAAAAAGCCAAAAAAGAAGACCGCAA